GGCCCAAAUAAACCUGUCUUUUCUAGAAUAAUCUAUGCAUACAUGUUAAAAUAUAAACUCGUGGGCAAUAACCCUAUCAUUAAUUUGAAAGUGACACAAGAAUAUUGUUGAUAAAGAAUGUUGUAGUGGUAGGUGGUAUAGGACAUCUUUCAACUCCAAAAGCUUGCUCACUAGAUAAGGUUUUCCAUCACACUUAUAAAGUCACUAUCAACCCCUUCCACAACCAAUGUGGGAUAACCCCAAAAAUCUCCUCCUCACACAAAGGGCUUGAAUCAAAAGCAUAGACACCUAUUCUCUCAAUUAGAUUAUUAGAUUGAGAUGUUGGUGAGCCUGAACUUUAAUAUUAGUGUUUGGUAGUCUCAAGCCUCUUUCAACCUCAAAAGUUAGGCCAAGGGGUGAGGCUUUCCCUCACACUUAUAAAGUCACUACUAACCCCUUCCACAACCGAUAUGGGAUAACCAGAACAAGUAGCAAUUAUAGUUUAUCUAAUUAGAACAAAUAGAACUUUUGAAGGAAAAAAGAAUUAAUAAAAAUACUCUCUUAUAAUGAAAACCAUAAACAAAUAGGGAUAUACUAAAUACACAUUUAUUUUUAUCUUUCUAGUUGUAUAAGAUUGAUGCAAUUUUUUUUCCUACAAAAACAAUAGUAACAGUUAAAUCUCAUAGAUAUCUUAUGUUUCACUGGUAUUAAAUAACUCUUAGAUUGUCUAAUUCACAUAAAAAUCAAUAGUAAAGCCACAUUUAAGUAAUGCACCUCUAUAGAAAUAUUAAUUUCACAUUUACGUUCCCAAUCAUAUUGGCU
RNAcentral lists this long non-coding RNA (801 nucleotides) under Citrus x clementina. RNAcentral describes it as "Citrus clementina (C. clementina) long non-coding RNA (CCLE_LNC000997)". The record is from RNAcentral. Lineage: Eukaryota; Viridiplantae; Streptophyta; Magnoliopsida; Sapindales; Rutaceae.